GACGAACGCUGGCGGCGUGCUUAACACAUGCAAGUCGAACGGAAAGGCCCUGCUUUUGUGGGGUGCUCGAGUGGCGAAAGGGUGAGUAACACGUGAGUAACCUGCCCUUGACUUUGGGAUAACUUCAGGAAACUGGGGCUAAUACCGGAUAGGAGCUCCUGCUGCAUGGUAGGGGUUGGAAAGUUUCGGCGGUUGGGGAUGGACUCGCGGCUUAUCAGCUUGUUGGUGGGGUAGUGGCUUACCAAGGCUUUGACGGGUAGCCGGCCUGAGAGGGUGACCGGCCACAUUGGGACUGAGAUACGGCCCAGACUCCUACGGGAGGCAGCAGUGGGGAAUAUUGCACAAUGGGCGGAAGCCUGAUGCAGCAACGCCGCGUGCGGGAUGACGGCCUUCGGGUUGUAAACCGCUUUCGCCUGUGACGAAGCGUGAGUGACGGUAAUGGGUAAAGAAGCACCGGCUAACUACGUG
This 468-nucleotide ribosomal RNA is filed under the name uncultured bacterium. Its description in RNAcentral is "partial 16S ribosomal RNA". It matches the Rfam family "Bacterial small subunit ribosomal RNA", at positions 28 to 507 of the family's 1533-position model. The record is from RNAcentral.